GAACAGCAAUGGGAGUUUUACAAAGAUCUGAUUCACCAACAGCAAGAUAACUUUAAGACAUUUGUCCAAUUAAUCAUGGAUGGAACUAACAAAAGGUUGGACAGCAUUCUAAGGGAUGUACAGGAUGUUAAAUCCAGCCUGCAAUUCACUGAUGGGGUUGUCACCGAGCUGCAAACUGAAGAGAGGCGCAUUAAAAGCAAACUAAAAGAGUUUGAAUCGGCGGUCAGCAGCAUACGCGAGGAACACAGAGAAUUAACAACCAAGAUGGACUAUUUAGAAAAUCAAUCGAGAAGGAACAACAUUGUGUUGGAUUGAUUAAUAGAUGAAAAAGCAGAAACGUGGGAAAGAUCAGAGGAGAAAGUCCGACAUAUGCUGAAGAACCAGCUGGGCCUGGAUAGUGACAGCAUUAAAAUUGAACGCGCCCACAGAGUCGGUCCAUACAAGGAAAAUGGACGAGCCAGGCAGAUUGUGAGUCCAUCAGGAAGAAGAGGAAAGAACUGUUACCACAGCUGAGAGCGGCCAGAGACAGAGGUGAUAUUGCCGUCCUGAAAUAUGACAAAUUAAUUGUUAAACCGAGGUCACAGAACGCCGGAAUUAAUAUUUAGACUUCAGCAAUGUUGCCAUUUGUAGCUGUUGAGAUCGAUCGGUCUGCAAAUGUCUGAUCCUAUACUUAUUCCCGGAUUCUCCAGUAAAGAUUUUUCAGUGGCUCAUUUCAAUAUUUGUAGCCUUAAAUAUAAGAUUCAGGAAAUUCAGUCACUGUUGUCAACAAAUACGAUAAGUGUGCUGGCUAUUUCCGAGACACAUUUAGAUGCUGCCUUUGAGAAUAAUGAAUUUGAAAUAAACGGCUAUAAGUUGUAUAGGAAGGACAGAAACAGAUUUGGAGGGGGCGUAGCCCUAUACAUUAAUGAUAAUAUGGCAAGCAAACUACGUAUGGACUUAAUGUUUGACGACCUGGAAAUUGUGUGGGUUCAGUUACACCCGCUCUAUGGCAGGCCUGUAUUAGCAGGUCGCUGCUACAGACCCCCAAGUAGUAAUAUGUUGUAUGUAGAACGAAUCUGUAAAAUGCUGGAAAGAGUAACUGAGGAAAACAAAGACAUGUUCUUAUUAGGAGACUUUAAUCUCAAUUGGUCAGCUCCUUCUUGUCCUUUAAGGAAAAAGAUAAGUUCAUCAGCGUCGGCCUGUUGCCUGUCUCAGAUGAUCGCCAUUCC
Astatotilapia calliptera (eastern happy) is the source of this 1208-nucleotide long non-coding RNA. The record is from Ensembl. NCBI's taxonomy places the organism in Eukaryota, Metazoa, Chordata, Actinopteri, Cichliformes, Cichlidae.